This 401-nucleotide ribosomal RNA is filed under the name uncultured Filosa. RNAcentral describes it as "partial small subunit ribosomal RNA". It matches the Rfam family "Eukaryotic small subunit ribosomal RNA", at positions 30 to 432 of the family's 1831-position model. The record is from RNAcentral. Lineage: Eukaryota; Cercozoa.
GCUUGUCUCAAAGAUUAAGCCAUGCAUGUCUAAGUAUAAACAACUUUAUACUGUGAAACUGCGUACAGCUCAUUAUAUCAGUGAUUGUCGAUUUGAUGGUACCUUACUACAUGGAUAACCGUAGUAACCUAGAGCUAAUACAUGCGCAAAAUCCCGACUUCACGGAAGGGAUGUAUUUAUUAGAUUCAAAACCAAUACGGGCAACCGUUUUUUGGUGAUUCAUAGUAACUGUUCGAAGCGCAUGACCUCGUGUCGGCGCUAGUUCAUUCAAAUUUCUGCCCUAUCAGCUCUCGACGGUAGUGUAGUGGACUACCGUGGCGCUAACGGGUGACGGAGAAUUAGGGUUCGAUUCCGGAGAGGGAGCCUGAGAAACGGCUACCACAUCCAAGGAAGGCAGCAGG